UACGGAAGGCAGCAGUGGGGAAUAUUGCACAAUGGGCGAAAGCCUGAUGCAGCUAUGCCGCGUGUAUGAAGAAGGCCUUAGGGUUGUAAAUACUUUCAUCGGGGAGGAAAAAACAAAACUAAUAAUUUUAUUUCUUGACGUUACCCGAAAAAGAAGCACCGGCUAACUCCGUGCCAGCAGCCGCGGUAAUACGGAGGGUGCUAGCGUUAAUCAGAAUUACUGGGCGUAAAGAGCACGUAGGUGGUUUUUUAAGUCAGAUGUGAAAUCCCUGGGCUUAACCUAGGAACUGCAUUUUGAAACUGAAAUACUAGAGUAUCGUAGAGGGAGGUAGAAUUCUAGGUGUAGCGGUGAAAUGCGUAGAUAUCUGGAGGAAUACCUGUGGCGAAAGCGGCCUCCUAAACGAAUACUGACACUGAGAUGCGAAAGCGUGGGGAGCAAACAGGAUUAGAUACC
Molecule: ribosomal RNA, 453 nt
Filed under: uncultured bacterium
Lineage: Bacteria
Description: bacterial SSU rRNA
Rfam family: Bacterial small subunit ribosomal RNA
Source: RNAcentral